This 78-nucleotide transfer RNA is filed under the name Thermoprotei archaeon. RNAcentral describes it as "tRNA-Gln". It matches the Rfam family "tRNA". Rfam says of the family: Transfer RNA (tRNA) molecules are approximately 80 nucleotides in length. Their secondary structure includes four short double-helical elements and three loops (D, anti-codon, and T loops). Lineage: Archaea; Thermoproteati; Thermoproteota; Thermoprotei. The record is from RNAcentral. RNAcentral also lists the same sequence under 1 other name.
AGCCCCGUGGUGUAGCAGGUCAAGCAUGCCAGGCUCUGGACCUGGCGAUCCCGGGUUCGAAUCCCGGCGGGGCUACCA